RNAcentral lists this ribosomal RNA (460 nucleotides) under uncultured bacterium. RNAcentral's name for it is "partial 16S ribosomal RNA". It matches the Rfam family "Bacterial small subunit ribosomal RNA", at positions 338 to 795 of the family's 1533-position model. The record is from RNAcentral.
CCUACGGGUGGCAGCAGUGAGGAAUAUUGGUCAAUGGACGCGAGUCUGAACCAGCCAAGUAGCGUGAAGGAUGACUGCCCUAUGGUUUGUAAACUUCUUUUAUAUGGGAAUAAAAUGUUCCACGUGUGGGAUUUUGUAUGUACCAUAUGAAUAAGGAUCGGCUAACUCCGUGCCAGCAGCCGCGGUAAUACGGAGGCUCCGAGCGUUAUCCGGAUUUAUUGGGGGUAACGGGAGCGUAGGGGGGUUGUUAAGUCAGUUGUGAAAGUUUGCGGCUCAACCGUAAAAUUGCAGUUGAUACUGGCAGGCUUGAGUACAGGAGAGGUGGGCGGAAUUCGUGGUGUAGCGGUGAAAUGCGUAGAUAUGACGAAGAACUCCGAUUGCGAAGGCAGCUCACUGGACUGCAACUGACACUGAGGCGCGAAAGUGUGGGUAGCAAACAGGAUUAGAUACCCGUGUAGUC